This 253-nucleotide ribosomal RNA is filed under the name uncultured bacterium. RNAcentral describes it as "partial 16S ribosomal RNA". It matches the Rfam family "Bacterial small subunit ribosomal RNA", at positions 524 to 776 of the family's 1533-position model. The record is from RNAcentral.
UACGGAGGGUGCGAGCGUUGUUCGGAUUUAUUGGGCGUAAAGCGCGUGCAGGCGGUCUGCUAAGUCUGAUGUGAAAGCCCCGGGCCUACCCCGGGAAGUGCAUUGGAAACUGGUAGACUUGAAUACGGGAGGGGGUAGUGGAAUUCCUGGUGUAGAGGUGAAAUUCGCAGAUAUCAGGAAGAACACCGGUGGCGAAGGCGGCUACCUGGACCGAUAUUGACGCUGAGACGCGAAAGCGUGGGGAGCAAACAGG